CAACUUUCAACAACGGAUCUCUUGGUUCUCGCAUCGAUGAAGAACGCAGCGAAUUGCGAUAUGUAAUGUGAAUUGCAGAAUUCAGUGAAUCAUCGAAUCUUUGAACGCACCUUGCACCCUUUGGUUCUCCAAAGGGUAUGCCUGUUUGAGCGUCGU
This 156-nucleotide ribosomal RNA is filed under the name Clavaria sp. Ceska110410. RNAcentral describes it as "5.8S ribosomal RNA". It matches the Rfam family "5.8S ribosomal RNA". Rfam says of the family: 5.8S ribosomal RNA (5.8S rRNA) is a component of the large subunit of the eukaryotic ribosome. It is transcribed by RNA polymerase I as part of the 45S precursor that also contains 18S and 28S rRNA. The record is from RNAcentral. Lineage: Eukaryota; Fungi; Basidiomycota; Agaricomycetes; Agaricales; Clavariaceae.